RNAcentral lists this ribosomal RNA (301 nucleotides) under uncultured bacterium. RNAcentral describes it as "partial 16S ribosomal RNA". It matches the Rfam family "Bacterial small subunit ribosomal RNA", at positions 509 to 809 of the family's 1533-position model. The record is from RNAcentral.
CAGUAGCCACGGGAAUACGAAGGGUGCAAGCGUUAAUCGGAAUUACUGGGCGUAAAGCGUGCGUAGGCGGUGAGUUAAGUCUGCUGUGAAAUCCCCGGGCUCAACCUGGGAAUGGCAGUGGAUACUGGCUCGCUAGAGUGUGUCAGAGGAUGGUGGAAUUCCCGGUGUAGCGGUGAAAUGCGUAGAGAUCGGGAGGAACAUCAGUGGCGAAGGCGGCCAUCCGGGACAACACUGACGCUGAGGCACGAAAGCGUGGGGAGCAAACAGGAUUAGAUACCCCCGUAGUCCCUGUCUCUUAUAU